CAUCCCGGUCGCGAUUUCCAGAGAUGGAUUUCUUCAGUUCGGCUGGACCGGAGACAGGUGUUGCAUGGCUGUCGUCAGCUCGUGUCGUGAGAUGUUGGGUUAAGUCCCGCAACGAGCGCAACCCUCGCCUUUAGUUGCCAUCAUUUAGUUGGGCACUCUAGAGGGACUGCCGGUGAUAAGCCGGAGGAAGGUGGGGAUGACGUCAAGUCCUCAUGGCCCUUACGGGUUGGGCUACACACGUGCUACAAUGGCGGCGACAAUGGGCAGCGAAGGGGCGACCCGGUGCAAAUCCCAAAAAGCCGUCUCAGUUCGGAUUGUACUCUGCAACUCGAGUGCAUGAAGGUGGAAUCGCUAGUAAUCGCGUAACAGCAUGACGCGGUGAAUACGUUCCCGGGCCUUGUACACACCGCCCGUCACACCAUGGGAGUUGGUUUUACCCGAAGCUGGUGCGCUAACCGCAAGGAGGCAGCCAACCACGGUAAGGUCAGCGACUGGGGUGAAGUCGUAACAAGGUAGCCCUAGGGGAACCUGGGACUGGAUCACCUCGUUAAGUUGGAUCCCGGGAAUCGAAUUCCCGCGCC
This 581-nucleotide ribosomal RNA is filed under the name uncultured Parvibaculum sp. RNAcentral's name for it is "bacterial SSU rRNA". It matches the Rfam family "Bacterial small subunit ribosomal RNA", at positions 985 to 1533 of the family's 1533-position model. The record is from RNAcentral. Lineage: Bacteria; Pseudomonadati; Pseudomonadota; Alphaproteobacteria; Hyphomicrobiales; Parvibaculaceae.